RNAcentral lists this long non-coding RNA (480 nucleotides) under Equus asinus (donkey). RNAcentral's name for it is "lncRNA (ENSEASG00005025275.1)". Lineage: Eukaryota; Metazoa; Chordata; Mammalia; Perissodactyla; Equidae. The record is from RNAcentral.
GAAUCAGAAGCUUGUGGGGAAGGAAGGAACGUGCAGAAAACGAGGGAGGAAACUUCUUCAGGGAAGACCCAGAACAACCUUCACGUCAACGGUGGGGGCAGUGAGCAGGAGGAGCACCACGCAAGAGCUGGGAGAUCGAGCAGAGCCACGUCCCAGGGAAUGAGGACGUAAGAGCCAUCAGGCCCAGCCCUUCAGCUGGCCCCAGGCCCAUCUCGCCUCAUCUGCCCCUUCUCUUAUCCCUCUUCUGCCUCAGCUUUUGCCAGCAGGUUCCCGUCCUCCCUCAGAGGAUCAUCCAGAUUCCUGAUUUUGAUCCUGCACCAAGGCCUCCAGUCUCAGGCAACUGAUUACGAGUGGUCUAAAUCAAUGAUGACCAGCCCAUUUCUCACUUUCCUAGUCUCCUUUGCUGCUACAGGAGACCAUGAGACCCAGUUUUGGCCAAUGAAAUAUGAUGGGAAGUCUGCUGAGGGUACUUUCAUGAAA